RNAcentral lists this ribosomal RNA (399 nucleotides) under uncultured Blastocladiomycota. Its description in RNAcentral is "partial small subunit ribosomal RNA". It matches the Rfam family "Eukaryotic small subunit ribosomal RNA", at positions 30 to 432 of the family's 1831-position model. Lineage: Eukaryota; Fungi; Blastocladiomycota. The record is from RNAcentral.
GCUUGUCUCAAAGAUUAAGCCAUGCAUGUCUAAGUAUAAAUGGUAUACAGUGAAACUGCGAAUGGCUCAUUAAAACAGUUAUAGUUUAUUUGGUAUUCGAAUUUACAUGGAUAACCGUGGUAAUUCUAGAGCUAAUACAUGCAUUACGCCUGACUUUUCGGAAGGGCAGUAUUUAUUAGAUACAAAACCAACCCGGGCAACCGGUCCUUUGGUGAUUCAUGAUAACUUUGCGAAUCGCAUAGCUUUAAUGCUGGCGAUGGGUCAUUCAAAUUUCUGCCCUAUCAACUUUCGACGGUAGGAUAGAGGCCUACUGUGGUGAUAACGGGUAACGAAGAAUAAGGGUUCGAUUUCGGAGAGGGAGCCUGAGAAACGGCUACCACAUCCAAGGAAGGCAGCAGG